GAUGAACGCUAGCGGCAGGCUUAACACAUGCAAGUCGAGGGGCAGCGCGGGAUAGCAAUAUCCUGGCGGCGACCGGCGGAAGGGUGCGUAACGCGUGAGCGACAUGCCCGUUGCCCGGGGACAACCGGUGGAAACGCCGACUAAUCCCCGAUGGGAUACGAUGCUUCAUGGCAUUGUAUUGAAAGUUACGGCGGCGACGGAUUGGCUCGCGUCCGAUUAGCUGGUUGGCGGGGUAACGGCCCACCAAGGCUGCGAUCGGUAGGGGUUCUGAGAGGAAGGCCCCCCACAAUGGGACUGAGACACGGCCCAUACUCGUACGGGAGGCAGCAGUGAGGAAUAUUGGUCAAUGGGCGGAAGCCUGAACCAGCCAUGCCGCGUGCGGGAAGGAGGCCCUAUGGGCUGUGAACCGCUUUUGCCUGGGGGAAAUAAGGGCGUCGCGCACGUCCGAUGAGAGUACCAGGCGAAUAAGCAUCGGCUAACUCCGUG
This 486-nucleotide ribosomal RNA is filed under the name uncultured bacterium. RNAcentral describes it as "partial 16S ribosomal RNA". It matches the Rfam family "Bacterial small subunit ribosomal RNA", at positions 28 to 507 of the family's 1533-position model. The record is from RNAcentral.